Long non-coding RNA from Oncorhynchus keta (chum salmon), 1274 nucleotides. RefSeq lists it as uncharacterized. The transcript is spliced from 2 exons. The record is from RefSeq and is a predicted model, not a curated record. NCBI's taxonomy places the organism in Eukaryota, Metazoa, Chordata, Actinopteri, Salmoniformes, Salmonidae.
GCCGAUAAUGGAUGAUCGGUUUGGGUAUGCCGUACGUGGAUGAUCGGUUUGGGUAUGCCGUACGUGGAUGAUCGGUUUGGGUAUGCCGUACGUGGAUGAUCGGUUUGGGUAUGCCGUACGUGGAUGAUCGGUUUGGGUAUGCCGUACGUGGAUGAUCGGUUUGGGUAUGCCGUACGUGGAUGAUCGGUUUGGGUAUGCCGUACGUGGAUGAUCGGUUUGGGUAUGCCGUACGUGGAUGAUCGGUUUGGGUAUGCCGUACGUGGAUGAUCGGUUUGGGUAUGCCGUACGUGGAUGAUCGGUUUGGGUAUGCCGUACGUGGAUGAUCGGUUUGGGUAUGCCGUACGUGGAUGAUCGGUUUGGGUAUGCCGUACGUGGAUGAUCGGUUUGGGUAUGCCGUACGUGGAUGAUCGGUUUGGGUAUGCCGUACGUGGAUGAUCGUACCUAAAGCUAAUCAGAUAUAUGCUCUUCUCCUCAGCUGAAGCAAAGCAGAGGUCAAGCCUCAAAUGACCUACACGGUUUUCUUCGUAAGGGCAUUUAAUAUUUUGUAGUGCAUACAUUGCACAAUUUUCUUCAUUAUGCAUUUAAUACAAGGCUCCAUUUUGUUUGUGUACAUUACACCAUUUCUUUCAUAAUGCAUUUUAUACGAGGCUAUGUAGAAUUUUAUGGGUUGCCAGAUUGGAGAAAAAGUACACAUUUUUGUAGAAUUUUAUGGGUUGCCAGAUUGGAGAAAAAGUACACAUUUUUGUAGAAUUUUAUGGGUUGCCAGAUUGGAGAAAAAGUACACAUUUUUGUAGAAUUUUAUGGGUUGCCAGAUUGGAGAAAAAGUACACAUUUUUGUAGAAUUUUAUGGGUUGCCAGAUUGGAGAAAAAGUACACAUUUUUGUAGAAUUUUAUGGGUUGCCAGAUUGGAGAAAAAGUAUACAUUUUUGUUUUGUUUUUGUUGUCGAUGAAUGUGUUUGAUUGGGGAAUGGAAAUACAUUUUUAUGAUGGGGAAUUUAUAAUGUACACAAACACACUCACUUUGUUUGUACUCGUGUUAUAGCCAACUCUUGACUUUUUCUAUGAAUUAUUUUUUAUAGAAUGUUUGUAUCUAGUUGUCAUGUAUUCAUUAUCUUUUAUUAGGUUAAAUGUUUGUAGUUUGUAUGUUUCAGUAAUGAUUAACACGGUUAAAUAGUCGUAAAUCACUGCUUCAUUUAGCUUUUGGUAUAUUUGGCGUUUUAUACAGUCUGUAUUUCACUGAAGAAAGCAAUGCAAUAAAUGGUAAGAAAUGCUCA